Molecule: non-coding RNA, 85 nt
Filed under: Bacillus sp. (in: firmicutes)
Lineage: Bacteria; Bacillati; Bacillota; Bacilli; Caryophanales; Bacillaceae
Also listed under: 1 other name
Description: Bacillus sp. c-di-GMP sequence
Rfam family: c-di-GMP-I riboswitch aptamer
About the family: GEMM was predicted in a large-scale screen for bacterial structured RNA regulatory elements. Genes associated with GEMM are involved in a diverse array of functions, including chemotaxis regulation, signal transduction, secretion and chitin.
Source: RNAcentral
UAAAAGCAAUAGCAAAUCAAUUGAAAAAUUGAGACGCAAAACCACAGAUCUAAGGUAGUCAUACUAUGAUGGCUGGGUUGCCGUA